AUUGAACGCUGGCGGCAUGCUUUACACAUGCAAGUCGAACGGUAACAGGCCUUCGGGUGCUGACGAGUGGCGAACGGGUGAGUAAUGCAUCGGAACGUGCCCAGAGGUGGGGGAUAACGCAGCGAAAGCUGUGCUAAUACCGCAUGUGAUCUGAGGAUGAAAGCGGGGGACCAGGCAGCAAUGUUUGGCCUCGCGCCUUUGGAGCGGCCGAUGUCAGAUUAGGUAGUUGGUGGGGUAAAGGCCUACCAAGCCGACGAUCUGUAGCUGGUCUGAGAGGACGACCAGCCACACUGGGACUGAGACACGGCCCAGACUCCUACGGGUGGCAGCAGUGGGGAAUUUUGGACAAUGGGCGCAAGCCUGAUCCAGCAAUGCCGCGUGCGGGAAGAAGGCCUUCGGGUUGUAAACCGCUUUUGUACGGAACGAAAAGGCUCUGGCUAAUACCUGGGGCUGAUGACGGUACCGUAAGAAUAAGCACCGGCUAACUACGUG
Molecule: ribosomal RNA, 492 nt
Filed under: uncultured bacterium
Lineage: Bacteria
Description: partial 16S ribosomal RNA
Rfam family: Bacterial small subunit ribosomal RNA
Source: RNAcentral